GGCGCUGUAGCCAAGUGGUAAGGCAGAGGUCUGCAAAACCUCCACCGGCGGUUCGAGUCCGCCCAGCGCCUCCA
This 74-nucleotide transfer RNA is filed under the name Deinococcus maricopensis DSM 21211. RNAcentral describes it as "tRNA-Cys (GCA) (tRNA-Cys-GCA-1-1)". It matches the Rfam family "tRNA". Rfam says of the family: Transfer RNA (tRNA) molecules are approximately 80 nucleotides in length. Their secondary structure includes four short double-helical elements and three loops (D, anti-codon, and T loops). Further hydrogen bonds mediate the characteristic L-shaped molecular structure. tRNAs have two regions of fundamental functional importance: the anti-codon, which is responsible for specific mRNA codon recognition, and the 3' end, to which the tRNAs corresponding amino acid is attached (by aminoacyl-tRNA synthetases). tRNAs cope with the degeneracy of the genetic code in two manners: having more than one tRNA (with a specific anti-codon) for a particular amino acid; and 'wobble' base-pairing, i.e. permitting non-standard base-pairing at the 3rd anti-codon position. RNAcentral also lists the same sequence under 1 other name. The record is from RNAcentral. Lineage: Bacteria; Thermotogati; Deinococcota; Deinococci; Deinococcales; Deinococcaceae.